AAGGACUCGUGUUUGAGGAGGUGAUGGGCCUGAAAAAGGCAGGUUAAUGAACCAGCUUUGAGCCCAACUGGGCGAAGGGAGAUGGGGUCUCUGUGCUCAUAAUAAGGACAAGAAUGUCUCUUUGCCCAUCACAGCUUGUGUGACCUGAACAGUUUUUCCCUCCAGGUUCCUCUCACAGAGCAAGUUCACGUCUUGUAAGGGGUCUAAGGUUUGAAGCAUCCACCAGGUUUUCAACAUAUACUCUAGAGAGGCGUUACCUAAGCUAAAAAAAAAAAAAUCUUUUUAAUAACUUUGUUUUUAAUCUCUUCCUUCCAUUCACAAAGAAAAGGCUCACAGUAUUAGCAGGUUAAUGACAGCUGCUUUGCUGGUUCAGAAGAACAGGCCAGGGACCCCAUUUAAAGUUCAAUCACCUGCUUCAUAAUCGGGGCCUCUCUCUACUGUCACCUCCCUCACCUUCUUCUCUUCAGGAAACUCCUUGAAGGGGAUGAGGCUCUGCACAGACUGGGGACUAAAGGGAGAUUCUUUGCAGAAAGAGGAGUCCCUCCUCCUGAGCCCCUGCCAGACGCCUGCAGCUGCUUCAGGCUGAGCUGUGGUCAGAGCCCUCAGACACACUGCAGGCCUUAAGGAGGUUCUGCUCAUUAGCACCAAACCAUUGCUGGUUGUCGUAAAAAGAAAAAAAAUAAUAAUAAGGUUAAGAUCUCCGACAGCAAUAAGGGCCCACAUUUAAAUCUCUAGUAACAGUUUCAAAGAACAUACUGGGCAUUACUAGUAUUUACUUAGCAGUAUUAGAUGAAAGAACAUAGUUUAAUAAAUAUUUCUCUGUUAGUGCCAAAUGUUUCAAAAUCAGUAAAAUUUCAACAAAAAGUUGAAGGAAAAGAAGGAUUGAUUAAAACAUUAACUGACUGAAGUUGCAUUUUUCUUUAAAGCAGCAACUCGUGAACAAUGUCUGUUUUAAAAUGUCAAUGCCUUUUAGGCACAGUGUUCACUUUGGUUUUUACAUUCAUCCCUUGACAAUUAGAAACCUCUGUUAUCUUCCAAAGUAAUCAAAAUGCUCACAGACAUACACUGCAAGGGCAGGUAAGGGUCAAACUAAUGAUCAUUUCCGACAGAUAAUAUUUAAUUACUCACCUCUAAGCAAUGAAGUUAAUAAAUUAAUUUUAUAAACAUCUGCAGGCAAAACACUCAUUGUAGACAUUUAUAUUACGACACACAACCUUCACGUAAAUACUCACAAAAUUUAUCCGCCCACAUUUUUUUUUUUUCCUGAAGGUACACAAUUAAACUGCAUUUACUAAGUGUUAGCUGGCA
RNAcentral lists this long non-coding RNA (1308 nucleotides) under Sus scrofa (pig). RNAcentral's name for it is "lncRNA (ENSSSCG00015015438.1)". The record is from RNAcentral. Lineage: Eukaryota; Metazoa; Chordata; Mammalia; Artiodactyla; Suidae.